AAUAGAUACCCGGUAGUCCACGCCGUAAACGAUGAGUGCUAAGUGUUAGAGGGUUUCCGCCCUUUAGUGCUGCAGCAAACGCAUUAAGCACUCCGCCUGGGGAGUACGGUCGCAAGACUGAAACUCAAAGGAAUUGACGGGGGCCCGCACAAGCGGUGGAGCAUGUGGUUUAAUUCGAAGCAACGCGAAGAACCUUACCAGGUCUUGACAUCCCGUGACAACUCUGGAGACAGGGCGUUCCCCUUCGGGGGACACGGUGACAGGUGGUGCAUGGUUGUCGUCAGCUCGUGUCGUGAGAUGUUGGGUUAAGUCCCGCAACGAGCGCAACCCUUGAUCUUAGUUGCCAGCAUUCAGUUGGGCACUCUAAGGUGACUGCCGGUGGCAAACCGGAGGAAGGUGGGGAUGACGUCAAAUCAUCAUGCCCCUUAUGACCUGGGCUACACACGUGCUACAAUGGAUGGUACAAAGGGCAGCAAAACCGCGAGGUUGAGCCAAUCCCAUAAAACCAUUCUUAGUUCGGAUUGCAGG
This 528-nucleotide ribosomal RNA is filed under the name uncultured bacterium. RNAcentral describes it as "bacterial SSU rRNA". It matches the Rfam family "Bacterial small subunit ribosomal RNA", at positions 777 to 1304 of the family's 1533-position model. The record is from RNAcentral.